GUCAUUAUGUUAUAAUAUUAACGUAGAAAAGUUUAUGACGGUGGCUAUCUUUGAAUCGAGGUGAUGCUUAUGAAAAUAAGUAUUAAAUCUAAGGAAGGAGAAGCCUUUUGUCCACGUCGGAAGCCUUACAAUUGAUGAUUGCCUUUGGUAGUUUUACACUAGCUUUGGUAUCAA
RNAcentral lists this small RNA (174 nucleotides) under Vagococcus fluvialis. RNAcentral describes it as "Listeria sRNA rli28". It matches the Rfam family "Listeria sRNA rli28". The record is from Rfam by way of RNAcentral. Lineage: Bacteria; Bacillati; Bacillota; Bacilli; Lactobacillales; Enterococcaceae.